This is a long non-coding RNA of Hypanus sabinus (Atlantic stingray), 1605 nucleotides long. RefSeq lists it as uncharacterized. The record is from RefSeq and is a predicted model, not a curated record. The transcript is spliced from 5 exons. NCBI's taxonomy places the organism in Eukaryota, Metazoa, Chordata, Chondrichthyes, Myliobatiformes, Dasyatidae.
GCGCAGGCAGCGCUGGGGGAGGACUUUUAAAGAGAAGAAUCAGCCGUUAACGACAACUUCCGGUGACGAGCGGCAGCCUCGGAGCUUUGGUGGGACGCAGGCGUGUUCUCCUCUCCUUAUCCUCGAUACGAUCAGGGUUGCUGGGUCCUAUUGGGAUCUUUGAUCUACAGCAGAACUCAAAGAUUGUAGUUCUGCGCAAUGGCACGUUACCGUUUUUGGAGCUCGCCAAUUGGCACAUUUCAGCAUGUCCAGGUCUGGCCUGAAGUCAGACACCUUCAGGGCCUGUGUAGCCAUGGGGAAACAAAUUCUCACUGGUGUUGCAUACUAAAAGAGCCGGAACAUCGAAGACAAAAAGAGUGGCUAUCAGAGGGCUCUGCACUCAGUAAUUGAUUUGCUGAUUCUGGAGUCGGGGAACUCAAAUUAAAAAAGCAAAGCUUCAGACUGUAACAUCACAAUAGAGACUUCUGUCUCCCCUGUUGUUGUGGAAGGAGCGAUAUCUGUCUCUCCCUUGUUAGUGAGAGAGAGCCUGUGGAAUGUUGAAAUGUUGGAGUGAACAGUUUUUGAUGGACUGUAAACCAUGAUCUCUCUUUGGGAGUUUUGAUUUUGCAUGGGUGGUGGGAAUGCUGAUGCUUUAUGUUAGAAUAAGUGGGGAGAGAGUUGAUGCUGCUUGUGCACGGGAGUGGGGUAGGGGCUUUGGGGUUCUUAAGUUUUUCUGUCAUUCAUUCUUUGGGUUUUGUCUGGGGAGAGUAAGAAUUUCAGGUUGUAUAUUGUAUACAUUCUCUGGUAUUAAAUGGAACUAUUGAACUGGUUGGCAUACACUGUUUUACCUUCUAUGUUCUAAUGUUUUUCUUAAUGUUUAGCCAGUUUUAUCAACUCAUCUGGGGUGUUCCAGUAAAUGUGGAAGAUCUGAACUGCUCCACAUAAUGAGGUCAUUUGUAAAAAUCACAAAGAGAAGAGGUCCCAGAACAGAUCCUUGAGGCACAACACUGGUCACUGACCUCCAUGCAGAAUAUGACCUGUCUAAAACCACUCUUUGUCUUCUGUGGGCAAGCCAAUUCUGGAUCCACAAAGCAAGGGUUCUUUUGAAGACCCUGACCUGGAGUUACACACUGAUUUCGGUUCUCUGUGGGAAUGGGACCCGCUCUUGGGGCCACAUGAUUGGCUGCUUUUCAAUAUGCUGAGGUUGCAGCCCAGAAGACCAGUGCACCUUCAGGGUGCUGGAUCUUUGUGGCUCUGGAGGCAGGCAGAUUCGAGAACUCCCACCACCCAGGUGAUACUCUCUUCUCACUGCUGCCAUCAGGAAGAAGGAUUAAGAGUGUCAGGAUUCACGUCACCAGGUUCAAGGAAAGUUAUUAUCCCUCAACCAUCAGGCACUUGAACCAGAGGGGAUAACUUCACUUACCCCAUCACUGAACUGCUCCCACAACCGAUGGGCUCACAUUUAAUGACUCUUCAUCUCAUAUUCUUGAUAUUUAUUGUUUAUUUAUUUAUUAUUAUUUUAUUUUUGUUGCAUUUGCACUGUCUGUUGUCUUUUGCAUACUGAUUUUCACCUUGUUGGUGUGGUCAACUACAUAUACCUGUCUGGACACGUAUAGCUGACUGCUC